UUCGGUCACAUCACGUUGAAACACCGGUUACCAUACGAUCACCGAAGUUAAGCAACGUCGAACCUGGUCAGUACCUAGAUGGGUGAUCGCCUGAAAUACCAGGUGCUGUAAG
RNAcentral lists this ribosomal RNA (112 nucleotides) under Acanthosepion pharaonis. The record is from RNAcentral. Lineage: Eukaryota; Metazoa; Mollusca; Cephalopoda; Sepiida; Sepiidae.